This 253-nucleotide ribosomal RNA is filed under the name uncultured bacterium. RNAcentral describes it as "partial 16S ribosomal RNA". It matches the Rfam family "Archaeal small subunit ribosomal RNA", at positions 474 to 727 of the family's 1478-position model. The record is from RNAcentral.
UACCAGCACCCCGAGUGGUCGGGACGAUUAUUGGGCCUAAAGCAUCCGUAGCCGGUCAUGCAAGUCCUCCGUUAAAUCCACCUGCUUAACAGACGGGCUGCGGAGGAUACUACAAGGCUAGGAGGCGGAAGAGGCAAGCGGUACUCAGUGGGUAGGGGUAAAAUCCUCUGAUCCAUUGAAGACCACCAGUGGCGAAGGCGGCUUGCCAAUACGCGCUCGACGGUGAGGGAUGAAAGCUGGGGGAGCAAACCGG